GUGGGGCGGGACCGGGAGAGCGUGGCCUGUGCCUUCCGCGCCCGGCGUUCCCGGGACUCCGCGCUGCAGAGCAGGACAGAUGUGGAACCACCAGGUCACUGUCACGUGGUGCCAGAUGCCUGCUCAGCACUGGCCAUGAGGAGCCCACAGUCCACCGAGGAUGCUCUUCCCCUCUGGCCCGGAGUCUCCAGCCUCUUCAGGGAAGAAGCAGGAGAGGGAGUGUGCUCCCCUCCACUGUCUUCUUACCCACUCCCUCUUCUCCAUUUCCUUAAGCUGAAAGUUCCCAGAGCCAGAGCUGGGCCUGGGUUCUGGUGGACAGAAGGCCCAAGGAAGGAGAGAGUUAAGAAUAAAUCAUCCAUUGGCCCCCAGAUCAAGAAAUGAGGCUGUGACCAGUUGGUGGCCAGAAGGAGGUAGUCAGAUCUGUCUGGGCUCUGCUGACCCAGUCCGUCUCUGCUCCCACCAGGGUAGAGGAGGGCAGACUGCAUGGCCAAGCACCGAAGCCCAGCCUGGUCCAGGACCAUCCGCUGACUGUUUUCUGUUGUAUGGGCAGUUUGGGCAGUGUCUCUUUGGCUCUGCCUCCCCCUACUCCAUGCAUUUUCAUUAUGCUUAUUAAUAAAUUAUGGCUA
Camelus dromedarius (Arabian camel) is the source of this 626-nucleotide long non-coding RNA. RefSeq lists it as uncharacterized. The transcript has 4 exons. The record is from RefSeq and is a predicted model, not a curated record. NCBI's taxonomy places the organism in Eukaryota, Metazoa, Chordata, Mammalia, Artiodactyla, Camelidae.